UACGUAGGGUGCAAGCGUUAAUCGGAAUUACUGGGCGUAAAGCGUGCGCAGGCGGUCGUGUAAGUCUGUCGUGAAAUCCCCGGGCUCAACCUGGGAAUUGCGAUGGAGACUGCACGGCUAGAGUGUGUCAGAGGGGGGUAGAAUUCCACGUGUAGCAGUGAAAUGCGUAGAUAUGUGGAGGAACACCGAUGGCGAAGGCAGCCCCCUGGGAUAACACUGACGCUCAUGCACGAAAGCGUGGGGAGCAAACAGG
Molecule: ribosomal RNA, 253 nt
Filed under: uncultured bacterium
Lineage: Bacteria
Description: partial 16S ribosomal RNA
Rfam family: Bacterial small subunit ribosomal RNA
Source: RNAcentral